This 854-nucleotide long non-coding RNA is filed under the name Betta splendens (Siamese fighting fish). Its description in RNAcentral is "lncRNA (ENSBSLG00000000838.1)". Lineage: Eukaryota; Metazoa; Chordata; Actinopteri; Anabantiformes; Osphronemidae. The record is from RNAcentral.
AUGGACGAUGAAGCUAAAGGGUCAAGUGUUACGGUAAACAUCGGUGGUGUGAGCAGCGUCCAGGUCCUGUUACUGCUGAGCCCAUGUGCUGCUGAUUUCACAAAUCCGUGUACAGUGGGAAAACUGGCUUCUCUUGACCUGAACACGCAGGAACAGGUGUUUGUGGAGCCGCUGCUGGAGUCGGCAGAGACGGCGACCGUUUGGCUCCUCUGGACCCGCUCCGGCUCCUCCGGACCCGCUCCGGCUCCUCCGGACCCGCUCCGGCUCCUCCGGACCCGCUCCGCCUGCGUGGACAUGUGACGGCAGCGCCGAUGUCAACAAACCAUCCUGAGAUCACACAUUUGCUUCAGUGGCGGCGUCAACCCUCGCGCUGACGACUACGUCGAGGAGGCUUUUAGGUUUUCCCUGCUUGGAUCUAAGGCGUCUGAAAGUUCCAUCAUUUGGAAGCUAUAAAAAGUUCAGUGUUUCAUUAAACGCUUUUUGCUAGUCGCUCUGAACGAGGCUGCCGUCCUGCGACAAAACGCCAGCUCAGCAGUUACCUACCGGACACGUUGUGCAGCCUUUGACAGCAAUGAAAGCAAAUGAAAUGCUUGACCAAAGUCACCAGUAGCAUCACUAACAUUAAAGAUGUCCUGACUGAAUCACAAAGGUUAGCGUUUGCGCAGAUGCUAGCUAUGACUAAAAAUUUGGGCCCCCUGCUGAGACCGCAAACAUUCAGCCUGCUGCUAGCACUCAGCUAACAGGGUCACGUCACCGCUAACUCAUGCAUAUUAUUCAUUCAGGCUUGUAAACAUAAUAUGUUCAGUAUUUGGAUCAAGACACUGUUAAAUAAAUUGAAUACACUUGUUUGAACA